GCGGAUGUGGCGGAAUGGCAGACGCGCUAGUCUUAGGAACUAGUGGUAAUACCGUGGGGGUUCGAGUCCCUUCAUCCGCACCA
Molecule: transfer RNA, 83 nt
Filed under: Candidatus Omnitrophota bacterium
Lineage: Bacteria; Pseudomonadati; Candidatus Omnitrophota
Description: tRNA-Leu
Rfam family: tRNA
About the family: Transfer RNA (tRNA) molecules are approximately 80 nucleotides in length. Their secondary structure includes four short double-helical elements and three loops (D, anti-codon, and T loops).
Source: RNAcentral